This 292-nucleotide ribosomal RNA is filed under the name uncultured Anoxybacillus sp. RNAcentral's name for it is "partial 16S ribosomal RNA". It matches the Rfam family "Bacterial small subunit ribosomal RNA", at positions 1089 to 1382 of the family's 1533-position model. Lineage: Bacteria; Bacillati; Bacillota; Bacilli; Caryophanales; Anoxybacillaceae. The record is from RNAcentral.
GCAACGAGCGCAACCCUCGACCUUAGUUGCCAGCAUUCAGUUGGGCACUCUAAGGUGACUGCGGCUAAAAGUCGGAGGAAGGUGGGGAUGACGUCAAAUCAUCAUGCCCCUUAUGACCUGGGCUACACACGUGCUACAAUGGGCGGUACAAAGGGUCGCGAACCCGCGAGGGGGAGCCAAUCCCAAAAGGCCGCUCUCAGUUCGGAUUGCAGGCUGCAACUCGCCUGCAUGAAGCCGGAAUCGCUAGUAAUCGCGGAUCAGCAUGCCGCGGUCCGAAUACGUUCCGGGCCUU